CAAGCAGCGGAGCGUGUGGUUUAAUUCGAUGCUACACGAAGAACCUUACCAGGGUUUGACAUACAAGUAGUAGGGAAAGGAAACUGGACGACCUUCGGGGAGCUUGCACAGGUGCUGCAUGGCUGUCGUCAGCUCGUGUCGUGAGAUGUUCGGUUAAGUCCGCUAACGAGCGCAACCCUCACUGUGUGUUAUAUGUGUCACACGGGACUGCCGGUUUUAAGCCGGAGGAAGGUGGGAUGACGUCAAGUCAGCAUGGCCUUUAUAUCCUGGGCUACACACACGCUACAAUGGUCGGUACAAUAGGUUGCCAAGCCGCGAGGCGGAGCCAAUCCGAAAAAGCCGGUCUCAGUUCGGAUUGCAGGCUGCAAUUCGCCUGCAUGAAGUCGGGAUCGCUAGUAAUCGCAGGUCAGCAUACUGCGGUGAAUACGUUCCCGGGCCUU
RNAcentral lists this ribosomal RNA (440 nucleotides) under uncultured Anaerolineaceae bacterium. RNAcentral describes it as "bacterial SSU rRNA". It matches the Rfam family "Bacterial small subunit ribosomal RNA", at positions 926 to 1382 of the family's 1533-position model. The record is from RNAcentral. Lineage: Bacteria; Bacillati; Chloroflexota; Anaerolineae; Anaerolineales; Anaerolineaceae.